RNAcentral lists this ribosomal RNA (368 nucleotides) under uncultured organism. RNAcentral describes it as "bacterial LSU rRNA". It matches the Rfam family "Bacterial large subunit ribosomal RNA", at positions 2099 to 2465 of the family's 2925-position model. The record is from RNAcentral.
CUUUACUAUAGCCUGGAAUUGUGUUCGGGCUUCGCUUACGCAGGAUAGGUGGGAGGCUAUGAAGUUCUGCUUGUGGGCAGAAUCGAGCCAACGGUGAGAUACCACUUUAGCGAGGCUAGAAUUCUAACCCUUGCCCAUGAUCUGGGAAGGAGACAGUUUCAGGGGGGUAGUUUGACUGGGGCGGUCGCCUCCUAAAAGGUAACGGAGGCGCGCAAAGGUUCCCUCGGGCUGGUUGGAAACCAGCCGUAAGAGUGUAAAGGCAGAAGGGAGCUUGACUGCAAGACCUACAAGUCGAGCAGGGUGGAAACACGGUCUUAGUGAUCCGACGGUGCCGCAUGGAAGGGCCGUCGCUCAACGGAUAAAAGUUA